GAGAAAGGGAGAAAGAGAUUGUGUGUGUGAGGGAGAGAGAGAGAGAGAUUAAACGUGUGUAUAUUUGUGCAGUGAUCUUGGUGGAAUGUGUAUUUCUGUGUGUGUGUUUAUGCAGGUGAUCUCUGUGGUGUGUAUCAUCUCAGCAAUAGUGAUAUUUCCCUUUGCCACUCCAUCCCCCCUGUGGGAAUAAGCCACAGUUUCUCUUACACAAGGAGAGGUGCGGAAAUGAGGAGGAGGAAGAGAGACAUGAGGAAGAGCCUUAGAGGAAUGAGGAGGCGAGGCAACAGGAGGAAGAGCGGAGAGACAAUAUUUGCAGGUAUGCAGAAGAGCAUCUCUGAACACACAACACGUCGAACCCUGAAGCAGACGGGCUACAGUAGCAGAAGACCACACCGGGUGCCACUCCUGUCACCUAGUGAAGUGGCCGGUUCCCUUUGAUGCUCAUCCCCUGGUGGACAACACCCAGCCAGGAGAAACCUGUGUGCCCCAGGAGGCGGAGUCAACCCCUGUCACUCACUCCACCCACACCAAGGACACUGCCCUAACCCCCUGGGGACAUCCCUGCUUCCCUGGCUGAACCCUGGGAAUCUCUGAUGGCUGUGCAGGCAGAAGUGGGCAUGGCUAUAAAGUCCUGUACAGAGAGUAUGGCAAGUCCCACUGUCAUAGCUCCAGCGACACAGGAGUGGAGGGAUUUAUUGCCAUCUGCACUCCUCUGUGCAGUGACAUUGGAAUGGACAGCGGGAACUCAAAGGAGUUGAUGGGCCGGGAUAUUUCUACGGACACUACCCCUGACAACGCUAUUCUUCAUUUUGUGUCUGAGAGGUGGCAUAGCAAAGAUCUGGCAGAGAGCGGGCUCUCAAGGAAAUCUCAGCCCCCUGUCGGAACUUCAAAGGGGUCCCACUUGAGAUAAAAGAGGAAACCAACCCAUGGCUGUUUUAUGAGCCCUGGCAUCCUCACUCUCCUAGCCAGUGGUUUUUCUAACCCUCCAAAGCAAGGUAAAGAGAGCAUGGAUGCAGCCCCGGCUUCCCAUACUCUGACCUCCCGACCUCCCAGUCAUCAUACCC
Anguilla anguilla (European eel) is the source of this 1064-nucleotide long non-coding RNA. RefSeq lists it as uncharacterized. The record is from RefSeq and is a predicted model, not a curated record. NCBI's taxonomy places the organism in Eukaryota, Metazoa, Chordata, Actinopteri, Anguilliformes, Anguillidae. The transcript is spliced from 3 exons.